GACGAACGCUGGCGGCGUGCUUAACACAUGCAAGUCGAACGGAAAGGCCCUGCUUUUGUGGGGUGCUCGAGUGGCGAACGGGUGAGUAACACGUGAGUGACCUGCCCUUGACUUUGGGAUAACUUCAGGAAACUGGGGCUAAUACCGGAUAGGAGCUCCUGCUGCAUGGUGGGGGUUGGAAAGUUUCGGCGGUUGGGGAUGGACUCGCGGCUUAUCAGCUUGUUGGUGGGGUAGUGGCUUACCAAGGCUUUGACGGGUAGCCGGCCUGAGAGGGUGACCGGCCACAUUGGGACUGAGAUACGGCCCAGACUCCUACGGGAGGCAGCAGUGGGGAAUAUUGCACAAUGGGCGGAAGCCUGAUGCAGCAACGCCGCGUGCGGGAUGACGGCCUUCGAGUUGUAAACCGCUUUCGCCUGUGACGAAGCGUGAGUGACGGUAAUGGGUAAAGAAGCACCGGCUAACUACGUG
Molecule: ribosomal RNA, 468 nt
Filed under: uncultured bacterium
Lineage: Bacteria
Description: partial 16S ribosomal RNA
Rfam family: Bacterial small subunit ribosomal RNA
Source: RNAcentral